Molecule: ribosomal RNA, 294 nt
Filed under: uncultured bacterium
Lineage: Bacteria
Description: partial 16S ribosomal RNA
Source: RNAcentral
GGACUACAGGGGUAUCUAAUCCUGUUCGAUACCUACGCUUUUGUGUCUCAGCGUCAGUAUAGGAAUGGGCGGCUGCUUUCGCCACUGAUAGUCCCUCGAAUAUUAUAAGAUUUCACCCCUACACUCGAGAUUCUGCCGCCCCCCACCUAACCCAAGCAAUAAAGUAUACUAAAGUUACAUCGCAUAGAUGCGCUAGUAAUUUUGUUUAGCACUUUUAUUGCCGCCUACACACGCUUUACACCCAGUCAAUACGAGUAACACUUGUCCUCUCCGUUUUACCGCGGCUGCUGGCAC